CAGAGAACUCUGCAGAGAUAGUUUGCUAGCAAUUAUAAGGAGGACUUCCUUAAUUUAGGAGAGUUUUGUAUGACUGGAUGUGUUUUUAAAAGUAAUUCAAACAGAAGUUACGGGCUUGAUGCAGAAAUUACUGGGAAGACUGAGCCUCUGUUUCUAUUGUGAACCAAAGUGGUCUUCCUAAUUAGUGGUGAUCAUUUAUUACAGACUUUUUAGUAGACACCUGCUGCUCCUCAAACGGACAUGGAUAACACGUAGCUCAGUGAGGCCCAUCUGAGAAGAGAAUACAACUGGGGACAGAGAAACAACCAAACUCUACUGUGACAGUACCCGAUAAGAGGAAUUUACCGAAGGUCAACAAAUCCCAUUGAGUACUGUAGAAUGACAUAGCUGAAUUUCACAGGAAGCCAUUGAGCAGACACACUGGAAUGAGUGAUCUGGAAAGAACAGCAUAAGAAAACAGAGUAGAAAACUGCAUAAGUGAAUAUAAAGCUCAAAUUCUGCAGUGUUACUCAUUGUGACUUUGAAACUGUGGCAAAUCUCCUGAGUGUUACUAAGAUUGAUGGGCUAAAGAAGCAUGGCAUACUUUUGGAAAAUGCCUUUGACGCAAGAUGAGUUACAAGAAGGACAAUCUGAGGACCAAGCGUCUUACUCAAUGUAUCAUUUUAAUCCUGAUAGCCAGGUCAGUCUAGGAGUUGAUCAAAUAGUUGGUGAAGGCGGCAGUGAAAUACCCUUUUAUGGUCCAGCAUAUUCACGUGACCUUGAAGAAAAUGAGUUUUUCUUGGAUGCAGCAGAAGAACAUUUAUAUGGAGUAAAUCCACCUCAAAUUCCUCAUAGGGAUCCUUACUUUGGAAGCCCCACCUCUCACUGGCAGCAAGUCAGGGUGCCACCAACAAUUGGCUUCAGACCUUCUUUGCUAUCCGGAUGUAGUGACCUCUCAGUUGAGAAUUCCUAUCCCACAUACCCCAUUGGAACACUUUAUGACUAUUGUCCACAUGGAAGAAAUAACUUGAGUCCAACUGCAGAUGAAUUUGGGUCAGAUGUGGAGAAAGAGAAUAAAAAUCUGAAUUUCUAUAUAGGCUUUGAACAUAUAGACUAUCAAUAUCCCAUUUUCUCAGACGACAAUGCAAGCAGACAAGGAAUGAAAGAUAAAAGGAGAAAUGACAGUAAAUCUUUCCUCGUGAGCUCUGGGGAAACAUACUUAACAAACCUUCCUAGAGAAUUCACCACUGGACCUGUCUGGCCCAGCGUCAGCUCUGCAGACAGCACAGAGGUAUGUGCCAAAUUUGUAUGGUUGAAAGACUUAAAUACCUUGGUUUUGACUGUCCCCUGUCUUACAUCUUGUGUACUCACCCACACCUGUGUGAAGUGGGUGAGAAAUGGCACUCAUUCUGCACAUGUCAAUGGGCUUUGGAUCAGGCCCAUUGAAGCCAAUUGAAAGAAUUCCAUUGAUUUUAAUGGGCUUUUGGAGCAAGUUCUGAAUAACUACACAUGAGGCGAGGCAGUGGGUAAUCAGGCAGCAAAUAUUUUUUUUCUUGGCACUCAGUUUUUCCUGUAAUGCUUUUAUAUGUUAAAGAGGAAGCUACCUUUAUAAAUAAACAGUACAUUGACUCUUCUUGAUGAUUAGUUGGGAGGAAAGCUUCUAAAUUUUACUUUCUUUGUAGAAUAAUCUGUCUUUUCAGUCAGAAGAGAACCAAGCAGCCCAUAAGAAAUCACUUUAAAAGGGAAAGGAGACUGCUUAGUCUGACUAAUAAGAAUUUUAUGUUGGCUAGAUCUGUCCCCUCUUACUUGUGGCUUACCGAACUUACACUUAAAUGUGUGGUCAUAUCUCUCCCAUCUGCCCAUUAAAAAAGACUGCUUCAUUUUUUAAAGUAAUGGAACCAGUUUCUCUACUGAUGUAAUUGGUUUAACUCCAUUGAUUCUAAUGGAACUAGACCAGUUUGGACUAGCUGAGGAUCUGCUCUGUGGUCCAAAAUGCUCCAGUGGUGUAUAUUAUAGUAGUGUGCUUUUGGACCACUAACAUUGUUUCGAUCAUUGGACUGUUACUACUGUAGAGCAAAUGGUAGAGCAAAGUAUUGUAGGGUGGGCUUAUUACAGAGGUAACAAAAGAUCUGUAAUAGCAGGGCAUUAUGCUGAAUCUGUUUUGCUGUGUGGCCAAAUUUACUAUCUCUAUCUCUGUUCAAGCUGACUUGUUCUAAUCCUGAGAUUUGGCACAAUGACUAU
This is an RNA transcript of Mauremys mutica (yellowpond turtle), 2220 nucleotides long. It is a transcript of the gene named phosphatidylinositol 4-phosphate 3-kinase C2 domain-containing subunit gamma-like, with no coding region annotated. The transcript is spliced from 5 exons. Lineage: Eukaryota; Metazoa; Chordata; Testudines; Geoemydidae. The record is from RefSeq and is a predicted model, not a curated record.